This 424-nucleotide ribosomal RNA is filed under the name Fusobacteriota bacterium. RNAcentral's name for it is "Fusobacteria bacterium partial 16S ribosomal RNA". It matches the Rfam family "Bacterial small subunit ribosomal RNA", at positions 355 to 776 of the family's 1533-position model. The record is from RNAcentral. Lineage: Bacteria; Fusobacteriati; Fusobacteriota.
UGAGGAAUAUUGGUCAAUGGGCGAGAGCCUGAACCAGCCAAGUCGCGUGAAGGAAGACAGUCCUAAGGAUUGUAAACUUCUUUUAUACGGGAAUAACGGGCGAUACGAGUAUUGCAUUGAAUGUACCGUAAGAAUAAGCAUCGGCUAACUCCGUGCCAGCAGCCGCGGUAAUACGGAGGAUGCGAGCGUUAUCCGGAUUUAUUGGGUUUAAAGGGUGCGUAGGUUGUUCGGUAAGUCAGCGGUGAAACCUGAGCGCUCAACGUUCAGCCUGCCGUUGAAACUGCCGGGCUUGAGUUCAGUGGCGGCAGGCGGAAUUCGUGGUGUAGCGGUGAAAUGCAUAGAUAUCACGAGGAACUCCGAUUGCGAAGGCAGCUUACCAUACUGCGACUGACACUGAAGCACGAAGGCGUGGGUAUCAAACAGG